GCUCCAUUUAAGUGUUGUUAUUCAUUCUCAGUCAAAGAUUAACUGAGCACUAACUGGGUGUCAAAUCCCACUCCAGACACCGAAACCACAAAGGCGGCUGAGAUUCGGGCUGCCCUGGAGGAACUACCGGCCGGGUAGGUGAACCGGCGUUCAGCAGACCCCAGUGGGCAGAGGACUGUGACGGCAACAAACCUGGGAGCGUGGAGGUGCGAGCGGCUCUGGCUGGGGACUCUCGGUAAAGAAACUGGCAUCUAUGAAGGAGUGUUGCUUUGCAGCAGCCUUUUGGGAGGCCAGGAUGACCCUCUGGGCCGCCAUCUGGAACUCCCCAGAAAGAGCCUGUGACAAUGGCAGCACUGGCAACCACGCCAGACUGGCACCCGGCCAGCAGUGGAGGAGGCAGUGCUCAGUCUGGGAGUCUCCACCCCGGUCAAGUGCCCCGAAGGAUAGAGACAGCCCCGUUACCAUGGUUCCCCUGAGCCAACAGAUCUCCAGUGGCCUCCCAGUGGCAGCCGGAGCUUGCGACUCUCUCAGAGUCAAAGGGAGAAGCCAUAACCUCUGAGCAUGGACCAGGCCAGGAUCUGCCCUCCAGCAGUUUCACCUGUUUCCAUCAAGGGGCAGGAAGGUACGUUGCUACAGCGUGGGGCGAAGCCCAGCUCACCCACAGGGCCUGACUCGAUGCUCCACCGCUGCAGAGCCUGCUUCUGCGUGACGCACACCCACCUUCUCAGCCCAGGUCUGCCUCGGUUCUCUGAUCACAUUUGUUUUCUAUAUCCCUCUAAAAGAACACCUCUCUGUUUCCCAGAAUAGAAAAGGCUAGAGCAGGUUCGCUGGCCAAGGAGAAGGAAAGACAAGGUUGAAGAGACAAGACAGAAAGGGUCCUGGAGAAGACAACAGGGUGGAGGGGAACACAGGGAGAGGGCCGGGGGCAAGCG
Long non-coding RNA from Balaenoptera ricei (Rice's whale), 932 nucleotides. RefSeq lists it as uncharacterized. The record is from RefSeq and is a predicted model, not a curated record. NCBI's taxonomy places the organism in Eukaryota, Metazoa, Chordata, Mammalia, Artiodactyla, Balaenopteridae. The transcript has 3 exons.